Pocillopora verrucosa is the source of this 976-nucleotide long non-coding RNA. RefSeq lists it as uncharacterized. Lineage: Eukaryota; Metazoa; Cnidaria; Anthozoa; Scleractinia; Pocilloporidae. The record is from RefSeq and is a predicted model, not a curated record.
CUUACGGGUCGCUUAGACGAAAUAGAAGGGAAAGAGAAGCGUCGCUCGACCUGUGGACGCGUUACAUAAUAUUCGCUGGACGAUUUUAGUUUUGACAUCGAUGUGGCUGCAUCUUUCUUCCGGAGUGGUAAUACCAGUACCACUUUGAGUCGACGACCAUUCGGCUCAAGCUCAUCAACCGGCGCCCGAUCAAGCGCAGUUCCAUCCCAUCCAGAGCCUUUACGAGAAGAUUCUAUUAGAAAUCGGGAGAACCUGCUGGUCUCAAACCGAGAAAUUCGACAGUUGUUCGACACAAUCAAAGAACUGGGGGAUAUAGUAAAGCGGCAAAAUGCCAAACUAGACAGUUUGAGCGUGGAACUGGAAAACGCUUGUAAAGAAGUGGCUGAGGUGAAGACCGAACUACAGACUGUACGACACAAGCUCGAUCGCCAACCUCAGUCGACUGAGAAGGAGAAUAUCCUUCGUGGGCCUGUUCCAAAGCAACUAAAGGGUGAUGUGCACUUGUUGCACAACAAACAAGAAGUUGAACUUUAGUUUUGUGGAAGUGAAGGCAUUGAUACUGCCCACAACAGUGCUGUUCGAGGAUUUCUUUGUAAGGAACUGGAAAAGGAAAACAAUGACUAUGAAAAGUCAACUAUCAAGUGUGCUGUGUCAAGAUAUUAUGAAACAAAAAGACAACAAUACCUUGACAAUCCACCUGACAGAAGAAAUAAAGCAGAGAAGACUGCUCUGCAAUAAAUUGAUGCAAAUUUCAUGAGUGGCAAGGAGAAUGGUGAGGGCAGUCAAGAGGAUGUGUGGGUUGUGAGGUCACCACUGUGGCGUAGUCCACAGCUAUCUCCUCUCUUAAAGAGACUUCAGGAGAAAAUUGACAAACAGCCAUCUUCCUCCUGAAGCUCACAUCCACAAAAUACAAGAGUAGAAGGAGAGCCAUCCACACACAGUCUACCAACUUCCUCACCUGCAUGGGCACUCCUUC